This 236-nucleotide ribosomal RNA is filed under the name uncultured Actinomycetales bacterium. RNAcentral describes it as "partial 16S ribosomal RNA". It matches the Rfam family "Bacterial small subunit ribosomal RNA", at positions 97 to 334 of the family's 1533-position model. The record is from RNAcentral. Lineage: Bacteria; Bacillati; Actinomycetota; Actinomycetes; Actinomycetales.
GGCGAACGGGUGAGUAACACGUGAGUAACCUGCCCUUGACUUUGGGAUAACUUCAGGAAACUGGGGCUAAUACCGGAUAGGAGCUCCUGCUGCAUGGUGGGGGUUGGAAAGUUUCGGCGGUUGGGGAUGGACUCGCGGCUUAUCAGCUUGUUGGUGGGGUAGUGGCUUACCAAGGCUUUGACGGGUAGCCGGCCUGAGAGGGUGUCCGGCCACAUUGGGACUGAGAUACGGCCCAG